Myotis davidii is the source of this 311-nucleotide long non-coding RNA. RefSeq lists it as uncharacterized. The record is from RefSeq and is a predicted model, not a curated record. Lineage: Eukaryota; Metazoa; Chordata; Mammalia; Chiroptera; Vespertilionidae. The transcript has 3 exons.
CCCCCUGGUGCCCUGUUGACAGCGAGGUCUUUUCUCAGGCCUGCAGGUACGGACACGUGCAGCACCUGGAGCACCUGCUCUUCUACGGGGCGGACAUGGGGGCUCAGAAUGCCUCAGGGAACACGGCCCUGCACAUCUGUGCCCUCUACAACCAGGACAGCUGUGCGCGGGUGCUGCUGUUCCGGGGCGGGGACAAGGAGCUGAAGAACUACAACAGCCAGACCCCCUUCCAGUGCUGGUGGCUCCCAGAGCCCCUUCCUACCGCUGAAACUUCAAGUCCAGCCCUGGCCAGUUCGGCUCAGUGGAUAGAG